Molecule: ribosomal RNA, 442 nt
Filed under: uncultured bacterium
Lineage: Bacteria
Description: partial 16S ribosomal RNA
Rfam family: Bacterial small subunit ribosomal RNA
Source: RNAcentral
CCUACGGGAGGCAGCAGUGGGGAAUAUUGGGCAAUGGACGCAAGCCUGACCCAGCAACGCCGCGUGAAGGAAGAAGGCUUUCGGGUUGUACACUUCUUUUAAGGGGGAAGAGCAGAAGACGGUACCCCUUGAAUAAGCCACGGCUAACUACGUGCCAGCAGCCGCGGUAAUACGUAGGUGGCAAGCGUUGUCCGGAUUUACUGGGUGUAAAGGGCGUGCAGCCGGAGAGACAAGUCAGAUGUGAAAUCCACGGGCUCAACCCGUGAACUGCAUUUGAAACUGUUUCCCUUGAGUGUCGGAGAGGUAAUCGGAAUUCCUUGUGUAGCGGUGAAAUGCGUAGAUAUAAGGAAGAACACCAGUGGCGAAGGCGGAUUACUGGACGAUAACUGACGGUGAGGCGCGAAAGCGUGGGGAGCAAACAGGAUUAGAUACCCUUGUAGUC